Molecule: ribosomal RNA, 498 nt
Filed under: uncultured Sphingobacteriales bacterium
Lineage: Bacteria; Pseudomonadati; Bacteroidota; Sphingobacteriia; Sphingobacteriales
Description: bacterial SSU rRNA
Rfam family: Bacterial small subunit ribosomal RNA
Source: RNAcentral
GCCAGCCCGCUCAGAAACUUAAAGGAAGUUGACGGGGCCCGCACAGGCGGAGGAGCAUGUGGUUAAUUCGAUGAUACGCGAGGAACCUUACCUGGGCUCGAACGUAAGAUGACUGUAGGUGAAAGCUUACAUCUCUUCGGAGCAUUUUACGAGGUGCUGCAUGGUUGUCGUCAGCUCGUGCCGUGAGGUGUCGGGUUAAGUCCCAUAACGAGCGCAACCCCUACCUUUAGUUGCCAUCAGGUUAAGCUGGGGACUCUAAAGGAACUGCCUACGCAAGUAGUGAGGAAGGCGGGGAUGACGUCAAAUCAGCACGGCCCUUACGUCCAGGGCUACACACGUGCUACAAUGGCCGAUACAGAGGGCAGCUACCUGGUGACAGGAUGCAAAUCUCCAAAGUCGGUCUCAGUUCGGAUCGGAGUCUGCAACCCGACUCCGUGAAGUUGGAUUCGCUAGUAAUCGCGCAUCAGCCAUGGCGCGGUGAAUACGUUCCCGGGCCUU